GACGAACGCUGGCGGCGUGCUUAACACAUGCAAGUCGAACGGUGAAGCGCCUUCCUUUUUGGUGGGUGUGGAUGAGUGGCGAACGGGUGAGUAACACGUGGGUAACCUGCCCCCUUCUUCUGGAUAACCGCAUGAAAGUGUGGCUAAUACGGGAUAUUCUGGGUCUGUCGCAUGAUGGGUCUGGGAAAGAUAUUGUUUCGGUGGGGGAUGGGCUCGCGGCCUAUCAGCUUGUUGGUGGGGUGAUGGCCUACCAAGGCGGUGACGGGUAGCCGGCCUGAGAGGGUGGACGGGCACACUGGGACUGAGACACGGCCCAAACUCCUACGGGAGGCAGCAGUGGGGAAUAUUGCACAAUGGGCGCAAGCCUGAUGCAGCGACGCCGCGUGAGGGAUGGAGGCCUUCGGGUUGUGAACCUCUUUCGCCAGUGAAGCAGGCCUGCCUCGUUUGUGGGUGGGUUGACGGUAGCUGGAUAAGAAGCGCCGGCUAACUACGUG
This 494-nucleotide ribosomal RNA is filed under the name uncultured bacterium. RNAcentral's name for it is "partial 16S ribosomal RNA". It matches the Rfam family "Bacterial small subunit ribosomal RNA", at positions 28 to 507 of the family's 1533-position model. The record is from RNAcentral.